Molecule: ribosomal RNA, 2916 nt
Filed under: Aeromonas veronii
Lineage: Bacteria; Pseudomonadati; Pseudomonadota; Gammaproteobacteria; Aeromonadales; Aeromonadaceae
Description: 23S ribosomal RNA
Rfam family: Bacterial large subunit ribosomal RNA
Source: RNAcentral
GUUGUAUGGUUAAGUGACUAAGCGUACAUGGUGGAUGCCUUGGCAGUCAGAGGCGAUGAAGGACGUACUAACCUGCGAUAAGCUGUGAGAAGUCGGUAAGAGACGCUAUUACUCACAGAUUUCCGAAUGGGGAAACCCACCCGAGAUAACUCGGGUAUCUGUUACUGAAUACAUAGGUAACAGAGGCGAACCGGGAGAACUGAAACAUCUAAGUACCCCGAGGAAAAGAAAUCAACCGAGAUUCCCUCAGUAGCGGCGAGCGAACGGGGAUUAGCCCUUAAGCAUCUUGGAAGUUAGUGGAACGGUCCUGGAAAGGCCGGCGAUACAGGGUGAUAGCCCCGUACACGAAAACAACCUUGAUGUGAAAUCGAGUAGGGCGGGACACGUGACAUCCUGUCUGAAUAUGGGGGGACCAUCCUCCAAGGCUAAAUACUCCUGACUGACCGAUAGUGAACCAGUACCGUGAGGGAAAGGCGAAAAGAACCCCUGUGAGGGGAGUGAAAUAGAACCUGAAACCGUGUACGUACAAGCAGUGGGAGCCCUUCGGGGUGACUGCGUACCUUUUGUAUAAUGGGUCAGCGACUUACAUUUUGUAGCGAGGUUAACCGUAUAGGGGAGCCGUAGGGAAACCGAGUCUUAACUGGGCGUCUAGUUGCAAGGUGUAGACCCGAAACCGGGUGAUCUAGCCAUGGGCAGGUUGAAGGUUGAGUAACAUCAACUGGAGGACCGAACCCACUAACGUUGCAAAGUUAGGGGAUGACCUGUGGCUGGGGGUGAAAGGCCAAUCAAACUCGGAGAUAGCUGGUUCUCCCCGAAAGCUAUUUAGGUAGCGCCUCGGACGAAUACUACUGGGGGUAGAGCACUGUUUGGGCUAGGGGGUCAUCCCGACUUACCAACCCCAUGCAAACUCCGAAUACCAGUAAGUAAUAUCCGGGAGACACACGGCGGGUGCUAACGUCCGUCGUGAAGAGGGAAACAACCCAGACCGCCGGCUAAGGUCCCAAAGUUCUGGUUAAGUGGGAAACGAUGUGGGAAGGCUCAGACAGCUAGGAUGUUGGCUUAGAAGCAGCCAUCAUUUAAAGAAAGCGUAAUAGCUCACUAGUCGAGUCGGCCUGCGCGGAAGAUGUAACGGGGCUCAAACCAGGCACCGAAGCCGCGGAUUCACACUUAUGUGUGAGUGGUAGGGGAGCGUUCUGUAAGUCUGCGAAGGUGUAUCGAGAGGUAUGCUGGAGAUAUCAGAAGUGCGAAUGCUGACGUAAGUAACGAUAAAGGGGGUGAAAAGCCUCCUCGCCGGAAGACCAAGGGUUCCUGUCCAACGUUAAUCGGGGCAGGGUGAGUCGACCCCUAAGGCGAGGCCGAAAGGCGUAGUCGAUGGGAAGCAGGUUAAUAUUCCUGCACGACUUGUAAUUGCGAUGGGGGGACGGAGAAGGCUAGGUGGGCCAGGCGACGGUUGUCCUGGUGAAAGUGCGUAGGUGGUGUUUCUAGGCAAAUCCGGAGACACAACACUGAGACACGAGACGAACACACUACGGUGUGGAAGCCAUUGAUGCCCUGCUUCCAGGAAAAGCCUCUAAGCUUCAGAUUACAAGUCAUCGUACCCCAAACCGACACAGGUGGUCGGGUAGAGAAUACCAAGGCGCUUGAGAGAACUCGGGUGAAGGAACUAGGCAAAAUAGAACCGUAACUUCGGGAGAAGGUUCGCUCUUGAUGGUGAAGUCCCUUGCGGAUGGAGCUGUCGGGAGUCGCAGUGACCAGAUGGCUGGGACUGUUUAUCAAAAACACAGCACUCUGCAAACACGAAAGUGGACGUAUAGGGUGUGACACCUGCCCGGUGCCGGAAGGUUAAUUGAUGGGGUUAGCGCAAGCGAAGCUCUUGAUCGAAGCCCCGGUAAACGGCGGCCGUAACUAUAACGGUCCUAAGGUAGCGAAAUUCCUUGUCGGGUAAGUUCCGACCUGCACGAAUGGUGUAACCAUGGCCAUGCUGUCUCCACCCGAGACUCAGUGAAAUCGAAUUCGCCGUGAAGAUGCGGUGUACCCGCGGCUAGACGGAAAGACCCCGUGAACCUUUACUACAGCUUGGCACUGAACAUUGAACCUACAUGUGUAGGAUAGGUGGGAGGCUUUGAAGGCGUGACGCCAGUUGCGCUGGAGCCGUCCUUGAAAUACCACCCUUGUAUGUUUGAUGUUCUAACGCAGGGCCCUGAAUCGGGCUCGCGGACAGUGCCUGGUGGGUAGUUUGACUGGGGCGGUCUCCUCCCAAAGAGUAACGGAGGAGCACGAAGGUUGGCUAAUCCUGGUCGGACAUCAGGAGGUUAGUGCAAUGGCAUAAGCCAGCUUAACUGCGAGACGGACAGGUCGAGCAGGUACGAAAGUAGGUCAUAGUGAUCCGGUGGUUCUGAAUGGAAGGGCCAUCGCUCAACGGAUAAAAGGUACUCCGGGGAUAACAGGCUGAUACCGCCCAAGAGUUCAUAUCGACGGCGGUGUUUGGCACCUCGAUGUCGGCUCAUCACAUCCUGGGGCUGAAGUCGGUCCCAAGGGUAUGGCUGUUCGCCAUUUAAAGUGGUACGCGAGCUGGGUUCAGAACGUCGUGAGACAGUUCGGUCCCUAUCUGCCGUGGGCGUUGGAUGAUUGAAGGGAGUUGCUCCUAGUACGAGAGGACCGGAGUGAACGAACCUCUGGUGUUCGGGUUGUCACGCCAGUGGCACUGCCCGGUAGCUAAGUUCGGAAUCGAUAACCGCUGAAAGCAUCUAAGCGGGAAGCGAGCCCUGAGAUGAGUCAUCCCUGACCCCUUGAGGGUCCUAAAGGGCCGUUGGAGACCACAACGUUGAUAGGUGGGGUGUGUAAGCGCGGCGACGUGUUGAGCUAACCCAUACUAAUUACCCGUGAGGCUUAACCAUACAACACCCAAGAAGUGUU